UAGAGUUUAUAAAACUCCCAAACCCAUGUGAACUUACCUUUGUUGCCUCGGCGGAGCCUACCCUGUAGCUACCCUGUAAGGGGGUUACCCUGUAGCGCCCCGCCGGUGGAAUUUCAAACUCUUGUUAUUUACAAUGAAUCUGAGCGUCUUAUUUUAAUAAGUCA
Molecule: unclassified non-coding RNA, 164 nt
Filed under: uncultured Arthrinium
Lineage: Eukaryota; Fungi; Ascomycota; Sordariomycetes; Amphisphaeriales; Apiosporaceae
Description: sequence contains ITS1
Source: RNAcentral